This 252-nucleotide ribosomal RNA is filed under the name uncultured bacterium. RNAcentral's name for it is "partial 16S ribosomal RNA". It matches the Rfam family "Bacterial small subunit ribosomal RNA", at positions 524 to 776 of the family's 1533-position model. The record is from RNAcentral.
UACGUAAGGACCGAGCGUUGUCCGGAAUCAUUGGGCGUAAAGGGUACGUAGGCGGUUAGAAAAGUUAGAAGUCAAAGGCUAUAGCUCAACUAUAGUAAGCUUCUAAAACAGAAUACCUUGAGAGAUGGAAGGGAAAGUGGAAUUCCUAGUGUAGCGGUGGAAUGCGCAGAUAUUAGGAAGAAUACCGGUGGCGAAGGCGACUUACUGGGCUCAUUCUGACGCUGAGGCACGAAAGCGUGGGUAGCAAACAGG